UGUAUGCAGGACAAAAUCAGCAAAAGGCUGAGAGACACAGCAGUCACCUAAGGAGCGCUCCCUCUCUGCCUCUGGAAAUGCUUACUGCGGUUGGUCGCGCGCGCACAGGCGUCAGCAGGCCUGGCAGACUGUGGAUUCCUCUGUUCAGUGGAACCACGUGAAACCUCCCUGCCGGGAAUGAGACAAACUGAAAAGCACCGAUGCUCUUAGAUAGGCCCUGUGUCUGAGGGAGGGCGGGCGCUGGCCUCUGGGCCCCAGGGGACGAAAUGCUCCAGGCAUCCUAGCUCUUGUAGAGGCUGAAAGAGUUGCUUUGUAUGCUAAUGUAUGCGUGGACUAUGCUGGGUUGUGUAGAAGAUAGAGGACGGGGAGGCUCGCAUGGACACACGGUACAUAGCCGGAUACACAUCCUUGAACACGGAACAACGGGACUGGUUGGUGAACUUCCUCUGGAACCACAGCUAAGCAACAAGUCCUCAGGGCAGAUCACUUGUGGCCAGAUCACCCUCCAAACAGGAACCAUCACAGAGUGGGGGGAUAAGCAUCCACCCAACCUCAUUUCUGCUGCUCUGUUCAAUACACCGACCAAAAGCAACCUGGUGGAGAAAUGUGAGUUAUUUUAGUUUUCCAUUUCAGGUUACUGUCCAUUAUUGUAGUGACGUCAAGACAGGAACUUCAAGCAGCCAGACACAACAUAUCCACAGUUAAUAUACAAUAAUGGAUAAAUAUGGAAGCAGGGAAGCCAGGGAUAGGUCUGCAUCGCUAAAGGCCACCCGAUUAUUUUUAUUUUAUUUAUAUAUUUAUUUAUUUAUGUCCCAAAUACUGCUCCCUCCUGCCCCCGCCCUCACAGUCCCUUCCCUCAUCUACCCCCCCCAACCUAUAUCCCCCCACCAUGGCACAAAUCUGCAGGAUUAGAUGCAUCCUCUCCCACUGAAGCCAGACAAGGCAGCGCUGUUGGAGAACAUGUUGGUAUUCUGUUGAAGGACCCUAGUUCUUCUUGAAGCAUAAGAUCUAUUAGGAGGCUUGGCCUGGUAGAAAGAAGGUAGGUUAUAAGGACCCUAAGGACUUUCACCAGCUUUACGCCCUGUCCAGAGAAUUUAGAAUAACACCUUGUUCCAGGAAAUGAGCUAACAGCGAAGAGGGCAGGGCCCUUUUCAGUCCCCCAUGCAUGCCAUCUCUCCAUUGAGGAAUGUAAGGGUCAAUGUGCGUCAUCAAGGACUAACUCAUGCUGUGUAUAAAAAAUGUGUGCCUUUGCUACUCGGGGUUGCCUCUGUCCCAAUUACAGGGCCGCCCCAGUGUGCUGGAUCAUUAAACGUCUUGCUCGAUUGC
Rattus norvegicus (Norway rat) is the source of this 1326-nucleotide non-coding RNA. Lineage: Eukaryota; Metazoa; Chordata; Mammalia; Rodentia; Muridae. The record is from RefSeq and is a predicted model, not a curated record.